CCUACGGGAGGCAGCAGUGAGGAAUAUUGGUCAAUGGACUCAAGCCUGAACCAGCCAUGCCGCGUGCAGGAUGACUGCUCUACGAGUUGUAAACUUCUUUUAUACAGGAAUAAAGUGAGGCACGUGUGCCUUUUUGUAUGUACUUUACGAAUAAGGAUCGGCUAACUCCGUGACAGCAGCCGCGGUAAUACGGAGGAUCCGAGCUUUAUCCGGAUUUAUUGGGUUUAAAGGGAGCGUAGAUGGAUAGUUAAGUCAGUGGUGAAAUUGUGCGGCUCAACCGUACAAUUGCAUCUGAUACUGGCAGCCUUGAGUACAGUUGAGGUAGGCGGAAUGCGUGGUGGAGCGGUGAAAUGCUUAGAGAUCACGAAGAACUCCGAUUGCGAAGGCAGCUUACUAAACUACCACUGACAUUGAGGCACGAAAGUGUGGGGAGCAAACAGGAUUAGAUACCCCGGUAGUC
Molecule: ribosomal RNA, 460 nt
Filed under: uncultured bacterium
Lineage: Bacteria
Description: partial 16S ribosomal RNA
Rfam family: Bacterial small subunit ribosomal RNA
Source: RNAcentral